Helianthus annuus (common sunflower) is the source of this 582-nucleotide long non-coding RNA. RefSeq lists it as uncharacterized. NCBI's taxonomy places the organism in Eukaryota, Viridiplantae, Streptophyta, Magnoliopsida, Asterales, Asteraceae. The transcript has 3 exons. The record is from RefSeq and is a predicted model, not a curated record.
ACCUUAUUUUUCCCACACAUAAGAACUCUUUCAAUCUUCAUCUUUUCACCAAGAACACCUUAAAAAAAAACCCAUUUAUUUUUAUCACCUCCUUCAUGAUCAAGAUAGAUUUCUUUGGAACUUAAGGUGAUCUAAAGCUUUUGUAAGCAAAGGGAAGGGUUUUCAUCCAUUCAAGAACCUUAAAUCAUCAAGAUCAUCAUCUUAUUAGUUCUUAAUAAUCUUCUAAGAUCAUCCCUAGCCUAGUGCUAGAAGUCGCAACGCUAUUCAGGACGACCGCACGUGAGAUCUUAUUUACAUCUAUUCACAGGACGCGAUACUGGAAUUAGUGGACCAAUGCAACGAUUUCAGUUCAAGGAAAACAAGUAUCAAUACUCCAUGCCAACUAUUGAAGGGUUUGCCUGUUAUAUACCGCCUCUUUGCGGUGAUAUAGUGGUCAAAGUCUUGACAUUUUAAGACUUACAUUUUGAUGUAUAAAACGAUGACAACUUAUUUUCAUUUGAUGGUUUGUAAACAAUACAUUCAACUUAUGUUGCAUUCUUUUGAAACAAUUAUGACAAUGGCAUUGGAGCUUGUUUUUAUUCA